Molecule: ribosomal RNA, 769 nt
Filed under: uncultured bacterium
Lineage: Bacteria
Description: bacterial SSU rRNA
Rfam family: Bacterial small subunit ribosomal RNA
Source: RNAcentral
AGAGUUUGAUCCUGGCUCAGAGCGAACGCUGGCGGCAGGCUUAACACAUGCAAGUCGAGCGGGCGUAGCAAUACGUCAGCGGCAGACGGGUGAGUAACGCGUGGGAACAUACCUUUUGGUUCGGAACAACACAGGGAAACUUGUGCUAAUACCGGAUAAGCCCUUACGGGGAAAGAUUUAUCGCCGAAAGAUUGGCCCGCGUCUGAUUAGCUAGUUGGUGAGGUAACGGCUCACCAAGGCGACGAUCAGUAGCUGGUCUGAGAGGAUGAUCAGCCACAUUGGGACUGAGACACGGCCCAAACUCCUACGGGAGGCAGCAGUGGGGAAUUUUGGACAAUGGGGGCAACCCUGAUCCAGCCAUGCCGCGUGAGUGAAGAAGGCCUUCGGGUUGUAAAGCACUUUCAGUAGGGAGGAAGAGUUGAGUGUUAAUAGUACUCAGCUUUGACGUUACCUACAGAAGAAGCACCGGCUAACUCUGUGCCAGCAGCCGCGGUAAUACAGAGGGUGCAAGCGUUAAUCGGAAUUACUGGGCGUAAAGCGCACGUAGGCGGUUUUUUAAGUCAGAUGUGAAAGCCCCGGGCUCAACCUGGGAAUUGCAUUUGAAACUGGAAAACUAGAGUGUGUGAGAGGGGGGUAGAAUUCCAAGUGUAGCGGUGAAAUGCGUAGAGAUUUGGAGGAAUACCAGUGGCGAAGGCGGCCCCCUGGCACAACACUGACGCUCAGGUGCGAAAGCGUGGGGAGCAAACAGGAUUAGAUACCCUGGUAGUCC